UGCAAGAAGGUGGAAAAAGCGCUUUCAUUUCUCCCUCCCGCGUAUUUGCAUUGUCUAACCAGAACGCUGUUUCACGUUAUCUCACUAGUCACCAAGGCGACAUUUUUAUUUGUCGUGUCUAUGAAAAAAUCCCAUGUCGUUAAGCACAAGUUAGUUUGCAGAGAGUCUGUGUCUAAUCGAAUGACUUGUUUCCCUUGACGGACCACAGGGUGACUCAUGUCCUGGCCUGGCUUCUCAGGUGGUCACCUGCCCUAGACACGAGCUCAGUAGUUGAAUUAUUAAAACCAAAUCUGUGACUUCAUAAAGUAAGGUGCGAAACAGCUACCAGCUAAGCAAGGCCUCAACUGGGUUUUUGUUUCUGUGUGUGAAAAUAUCAUUAUAAUGACUAUUUAUUUCCUAAGUUGAACAUGAAUAGAAAGGGAAACUGUUCUUAUCGAGCCUUUUUGUAAGGUUCUUUGGCUAAAUCAUACAUUUCUAUCAGAAUGCACUGUAGAGUCCAGCUCUGCCCUUGAGUAAUGGGUCUAUCUCUACAACCAGAACAAUGGCAGGAAUAUCCCAUUGUCAUAAGUAGCAUUCCUGGUUCUCUGUGCUAAUAUUGCACAUUUUAAAAACAAUGAAUGAAUGAAUGGACGGAUGGACGAAUGAAUGAAACAUGUACUACUGAUUAUAUUAUUCCUGAGCUCUCAAAAUAUUUGUUGCUCAAAUUUUGAGGGCUCAUUGUAAUUACUUUGAAAUGUAUUUUGAUUAGAAAAGCAAAUGGAAAUGAUGCUGCUGAAAAUUUUCUAAUAAAUGUGUAUUUUAUCAGA
Long non-coding RNA from Myotis daubentonii (Daubenton's bat), 806 nucleotides. RefSeq lists it as uncharacterized. Lineage: Eukaryota; Metazoa; Chordata; Mammalia; Chiroptera; Vespertilionidae. The record is from RefSeq and is a predicted model, not a curated record. The transcript has 2 exons.